RNAcentral lists this transfer RNA (74 nucleotides) under Bacillus sp. MKU004. RNAcentral's name for it is "tRNA-Asp". It matches the Rfam family "tRNA". From Rfam's summary of the family: Transfer RNA (tRNA) molecules are approximately 80 nucleotides in length. Lineage: Bacteria; Bacillati; Bacillota; Bacilli; Caryophanales; Bacillaceae. The record is from RNAcentral.
CUGGUAGUUCAGUUGGUUAGAAUGCCUGCCUGUCACGCAGGAGGUCGCGGGUUCGAGUCCCGUCCAGACCGCCA